GCUCCGUUGGUGAACCAGCGGAGGGAUCAUUACAGGACUCGCAAGACUCCUACAACCCUGUGAACUUAACUACAAGCACGUUGCUUCGGCGGGUGUCUCGGAGGGGGUUCUCCCUCCCCGAGACGCUAAACCCGCCGGCAGCCUACUAUACUCUGUCUCUUUGCGUUGGCAUCUCGAGUACAAUCAAACAAGUUAAAACUUUUAACAACGGAUCUCUUGGUUCUG
This 225-nucleotide unclassified non-coding RNA is filed under the name plant metagenome. RNAcentral's name for it is "partial contains small subunit ribosomal RNA, internal transcribed spacer 1, and 5.8S ribosomal RNA". The record is from RNAcentral.